This 402-nucleotide ribosomal RNA is filed under the name uncultured Rhodospirillales bacterium. Its description in RNAcentral is "bacterial SSU rRNA". It matches the Rfam family "Bacterial small subunit ribosomal RNA", at positions 355 to 774 of the family's 1533-position model. The record is from RNAcentral. Lineage: Bacteria; Pseudomonadati; Pseudomonadota; Alphaproteobacteria; Rhodospirillales.
UGGGGAAUCUUGGACAAUGGGGGCAACCCUGAUCCAGCGACGCCGCGUGGGUGAUGAAGGCCUUCGGGUUGUAAAGCCCUUUUGCCGGGGACGAUGAUGACGGUACCCGGCGAAUAAGCACCGGCUAACUCCGUGCCAGCAGCCGCGGUAAGACGGAGGGUGCUAGCGUUGUUCGGAAUUACUGGGCGUAAAGGGCGCGUAGGCGGCUCUUUCAGUCGGAUGUGAAAGCCCGGGGCUCAACCCCGGAACGGCAUCCGAGACGGGAGGGCUCGAGACCGGGAGAGGAGGGUGGAAUAGCCAGUGUAGAGGUGAAAUUCGUAGAUAUUGGCUGGAACACCGGUGGCGAAAGCGGCUCUCUGGCCCGGUUCUGACGCUGAGGCGCGAAAGCGUGGGGAGCAAACA